AGAGGGGCUCAGUUUUCUGCAACA
Molecule: non-coding RNA, 24 nt
Filed under: Cricetulus griseus (Chinese hamster)
Lineage: Eukaryota; Metazoa; Chordata; Mammalia; Rodentia; Cricetidae
Source: RNAcentral